RNAcentral lists this long non-coding RNA (590 nucleotides) under Oryctolagus cuniculus (rabbit). Its description in RNAcentral is "lncRNA (ENSOCUG00000039261.1)". Lineage: Eukaryota; Metazoa; Chordata; Mammalia; Lagomorpha; Leporidae. The record is from RNAcentral.
UCAGCCCCCGGAACUGUGUGGGGCCGCUCCGCGCGCGGCGAAACCAGGGCAAGGCAAAGCUUGGAGGCCGAGACCUCGCGUCGAUCAGGGGGUCUCCCCGGGCAGGAGCUAACUUGGGAGUCUCCUCGUCGUGCGCUGGGCGGAACCUGCCUACGGAGUCGGAAGCCCCUUUGGGGCUUUUUGUUUGAUUUGUUUUUUGGCUAGUCAUCGAGGCUUUUAGAAAAAAAAAAAAGAGGUGGCCAGUGCCCAGAUGCUAGCCUCAGUGUUCAUCUGUGCUGCCACAGGAACCACACAGAGGACUGGUACAGUGCCCAGUGUGAGCACCGAACCUGCAGCAGUAACCCUGCCCUGCCAGUCAGGGAGCCCCGCGCCUGUGGAGCUGCCCACAGCACCUGCCCAGACCCUCCAUGCGCCCAGUUAAAAUCUGCAUUUGAGACAGAGAGUUCUACGCAAGAAGCUGAAAUGCCCAGUGAUUUCUGGCUCCUCUCCCCAUUUCCUGAGCCUUCCUGCCUCUCUGCCUGAUUCAAAUGAUAGGCUGUUCAGAGGGACCCCUUAACCGAAGGCGUUCCUCAAGCAGAGGCAUCUAGGGG